GGGGAAGCCGAGGGCGCUGCUCGCCAGCGAGACUUCUGGUACAUUCGGCCAUCCCAGCAGGGAAACAAGGCUCUCGAUCCAUCCACCUUCGUCCCUCAAGUGGUAGGAAACUUUCCGACGCCUCCCGCGGCUCUGCCAGGAGAGAAGAGACAAGCUCCCCCUCCCAACCCCUUAGUAAUGACUGAGUCUAGCGAAGCUAGCCAGCCGGGAGGCAAACUCCCCCUGCCGCCCCGAGGCCUCCUCCAGCCGCUGAGACUGGAAAGCGGACUUGCGACGCCACGCCGGCCGUCGUUGGUGACAAGUGUGACAACACCGUCCCGGUCCUACGGAAUCCACCUGGGUCAGUAACCUGAGACUGAAGAGUACAACAGUGAGCUCAGCGUCUCGAUGCCUCUGUCCCUCCUGAUGGCCUGAGGGUAACACAAUUGCCUUCUUUUUGGGAGGGACUCAGCCCACUCCAAUAUUGAGAAUCAGAGCGCCCCAGUGUUGGGAAUCAGUCCUCCCUAACGGUGGGAAUCAGCCUUGCCCAGUGUUGGGAAUCAGCCCUCCCUAAUGUUGGGAAUUAGCUCUCCCCAAAUGUUGCGUAUCAGUCCUCCCCAAUGUUGAGAGUCAGCCCUCCCUAAUGGUGGGAAUCAGCCCUCUCCAGAGUUGGGAAUAAGUCCUCUGCAAUGAUGGGAAUCGGUCUUCCUUAAUAGUGGGACUUAGUCCUCCCCAGUGUUGGGAAUCAGCUCUCCCUUAUGGUAGGAAUCAGUUCUCCCCAGUACUGGGAAUCAGCUCUCCCUAAUGGUGGGUAUUUACCCUCCCCAGUGGUGGGAAUCAGUCCUCCCUAAUGGUGGGAAUCAGUCCUCCCUAAUGGUGGGAAUCAGCUCUCCCUAAUGGUGGGAAUCAGCUCUCCCUAAUGGUGGGAAUCAGCUCUCCCCAGUGGUGGGAAUCAGCCCUCGCCAGUGGAGAGAAUCAGGUCUCCCCAAUGGAGGGAAUGAGUCUUCCACAAUUUAGGGAAUCAACCCUCCUUUGUGGUCAGAGUCAGUUUUCCUUAAUGGUGGGAAUCAGCAUUUCCUAAUGGUGGAAAUUUGCCCUCCCCAAAGGUGGGAAUCAGCCCUUCCCUGUGGAGGAAGUCAGCCCUCUCCAAUUGUGGAGAAGUGCCACUGGGAAGGGCCAGUUCCUUUCCAUCUCCACAAUUGAGGGAAUUGGCCCUUAACAGUGGUACUUCAAGCUUAGGAGUCAUAACUGCUCACCAUCGUUUUGGUGUUCUUAACCCUCACUCCACCUCUGUAAACAGAUCCUUCAUUAGUGUCACCCCAGUUUACCAUAUGAAUUAGCCGUCUGUUUCCCACAGGGAUGCUGACUGCCACAGUAGCUUAGACCAUGAUAAAUGCGACGGAAAGAUGUCAUUUCGUCCCCCCUCCCCCAGUUCAGCAGUAAUAUUACUUGUUCUUACCUGCCACGAUUGGACUAAGUGUCAUCUAGCAUCAGGUUGCAUUGCUGUCCUGUGGCUCAAUUACUUGCUGAUAAGCCACACAAUUCACCAUCAUUGUACGUUCUAAAGCAAGGGAACCUCCAUUGCCUGCGCCCUGAAGGCAGCAACCAUGUUCUGUGAUGCUUGGUGAAUCCUCAGCUCCUCAUGUAGUGUGAGGGGAGACAAAGACCUAUUUAUCCACAGCCUAGUUCAACAAACUCACAGCAGUCUAUACAAGGUGGUGUCCCAGCACAUUCACAUGUUUCCCGAGACCCUUCCCACCCAGCUCUCUCUCCUGCCCCUGUCAGCCCAGCACUUGCUCUGUGCUCACGGGGCCACCUGUACAUUCCUAGUCCACCUCGUGCUCUUAUUUGGCUGUGAGUAAAGACCCAGUUCAAGUGUCCUCUUCUCUGAAGCCUUCACUGGUUUCAUCAUUUCAAAGAAGUGGGGGGCCUUUCCCUUUAACUUUGGGAGACACAUAUCUGUGUAUCACCAGGCCACCUCAGUUGACUCGUGCCUUUUUGUUUUCUAAGUAACUUUUAGAAAUUCUUGGGCUCUUUCCCCUGUCCAGUUCACACUGGCCUGAACCAGCUAGGUAAGCCAAACCCAGUAUUUUCCUUGUCUGCAUUUAAGCUUAUUGCUUAGCUUUGGGGAGUGAACCUGGGCUCAGAGCUCUGCAGUUCAUGCGUCUCCUCCUUUUGAAAAGAGGAUUCAGAUGGUCUAGAGCUUGCUCCGUGUUAGCGGGUGGUAUAUAGACUUAUCAGUUUCCUUCUGGAAGCCCCAGAUGGAUGACAUCCGGUCAAGGAGUUUUGCUCCUCUGUUCAAGUUUUUCAGGUUACUCCAUUACUUCCCCCCUAGAGACAUCAAUCUGUGUUAAGGCCAAACUAGAAUUUCCUGAGCAAAAAGCCCUUGAAAUGUGAAAUUCCUCACUUCUCUUGAUGAUAAAAGUGACGCAGAAAGAAAAAAUAACAGUUUUGUUACCUGAUGGUACUUAUUAGUUAGCUCCCCUCGGAAGCAGUACUGAGAAAUUUCACGUGCAUUUGAGUUAUACUCUGGGGGAAUUUGUCAACACAUGUCACUGAGUGGACACCACGAAUGUGUAUAUUGUUUUCAUCUGUAAUCGAAGAAAUAAGAAUAAUAUUCGUCAUUUAACUAUGCACUUAAGAAUCAUUCAGUAUCAGUUUAAGUUGAAAA
Molecule: long non-coding RNA, 2650 nt
Organism: Homo sapiens (human)
Lineage: Eukaryota; Metazoa; Chordata; Mammalia; Primates; Hominidae
Gene: PANTR1
Product: POU3F3 adjacent non-coding transcript 1
Source: Ensembl